GACGAACGCUGGCGGCGUGCUUAACACAUGCAAGUCGAACGGAAAGGCCCUGCUUUUGUGGGGUGCUCGAGUGGCGAACGGGUGAGUAACACGUGAGUAACCUGCCCUUGACUUUGGGAUAACUUCAGGAAACUGGGGCUAAUACCGGAUAGGAGCUCCUGCUGCAUGGUGGGGGUUGGAACGUUUCGGCGGAUGGGGAUGGACUCGCGGCUUAUCAGCUUGUUGGUGGGGUAGUGGCUUACCAAGGCUUUGACGGGUAGCCGGCCUGGGAGGGUGACCGGCCACAUUGGGACUGAGAUACGGCCCAGACUCCUACGUGAGGCAGCAGUGGGGAAUAUUGCACAAUGGGCGGAAGCCUGAUGCAGCAACGCCGCGUGCGGGAUGACGGCCUUCGGGUUGUAAACCGCUUUCGCCUGUGACGAAGCGUGAGUGACGGUAAUGGGUAAAGAAGCACCGGCUAACUACGUG
RNAcentral lists this ribosomal RNA (468 nucleotides) under uncultured bacterium. RNAcentral's name for it is "partial 16S ribosomal RNA". It matches the Rfam family "Bacterial small subunit ribosomal RNA", at positions 28 to 507 of the family's 1533-position model. The record is from RNAcentral.